This 497-nucleotide ribosomal RNA is filed under the name uncultured bacterium. Its description in RNAcentral is "partial 16S ribosomal RNA". It matches the Rfam family "Bacterial small subunit ribosomal RNA", at positions 28 to 507 of the family's 1533-position model. The record is from RNAcentral.
GACGAACGCUGGCGGCGUGCCUAAUACAUGCAAGUUGAGCGCUGAAGGUUGGUACUUGUACCAACUGGAUGAGCAGCGAACGGGUGAGUAACGCGUGGGGAAUCUGCCUUUGAGCGGGGGACAACAUUUGGAAACGAAUGCUAAUACCGCAUAAAAACUUUAAACACAAGUUUUAAGUUUGAAAGAUGCAAUUGCAUCACUCAAAGAUGAUCCCGCGUUGUAUUAGCUAGUUGGUGAGGUAAAGGCUCACCAAGGCGAUGAUACAUAGCCGACCUGAGAGGGUGAUCGGCCACAUUGGGACGGAGACACGGCCCAAACUCCUACGGGAGGCAGCAGUAGGGAAUCUUCGGCAAUGGACGAAAGUCUGACCGAGCAACGCCGCGUGAGUGAAGAAGGUUUUCGGAUCGUAAAAAUCUGUUGGUAGAGAAGAACGUUGGUGAGAGUGGAAAGCUCAUCAAGUGACGGUAACUACCCAGAAAGGGACGGCUAACUACGUG